GAUGCAGACUGUGUGAGGAGCCGCGCCCAGAUAAUUGACUUUUCUCUUAUUGCCCAGCCAUCAAUUCAGAGGAACGUAGCACGUUUACAAAAUCUGUGUUUAUUUAUUCAUUUCUGAGGACCACCGUCUCUCGUUAUCCAGUCAGCGGUGUGGAUACGUACUGUUAUACAAAAAGAGCUGUGAAGAAAAGGAGUUCCUUGUAAAUACUCGGUCAAGUGACUGCAGAAAAACACGUCAUCACACCAUCGAGAGACAAUGCGCGUUAUGGAGGGAGAGUCAGUCACUCUACACAAUGGUGUUGAAAACAUCAGACAACAUAAUAUUAGAUGGUAUUUUAAUGGCAUUCAAAUCGCUGAAAUAAAUGGAGAACAGAUUGAGAUCUGUACAGAUGUUCAGUGUACUGAAGUUACUGAGAGAUUCAGAGGCAGACUGAUUCUGGAUGAGACUGGAUCUCUGACCAUCAGGAACAUCAGAACAACAGAUGCUGGUGAAUAUCGUCUAGAGUUCAACGACAAUGAGAUCAGUACAAUGAUCUUUAACGUUACUGUCAUUGAUCCAGGAAAUGAAUACACACCCCCACCCCAGAGCUCUAAUGAUCCUGACAUUAAUUCAGCUCAGUCUUCAGGUCUAAGAGCAGGAAUACUUUACCCUUUUACUAUUCUGAUGGUGAUUCUACCUGCUGUUCUUGGUUUCAUUAUCUAUUUCAUCAGGCAGCUCCUGAAACGCAGACGAGGGGGCAAAUGAACAGGCUUAUGCACAAAACAACAGGGAUGAGAUGGGUGAGUGCUGAGUGGACGGCAGUGGAGAUGGCAUCAUCGGUCGACCGGUUGGACCGAUAUGCAAACUGGAAGGGGUCCAGGGAGGGCAGACUUGAUGUGGUGCAUGACUAGCCGUUCAAAGCACUUCAUGAGGAUGGGGGUAAGUGCAACAGGACGGUAGUCAUUGAAGCAGGAUGGAGAUGGCUUCUUCGGGACUGGGAUGAUGGUGGUAGUUUUAAAGCAUGUGGGAACAACAGCCUGACUGUUACUGUGAGAUGUUAAAAAUGUCUGUGAAGACAUCAGUGAGUUCUGCUGCACAGUCUUUCAGUACACGCCCAGGGAUGUUGUCAGGACCCGGAGCUUUGCGGGCAUUGAUCCUGCUGAAGGAUCUCCUCACGCUGUCUGGGGUCAGAGUCAUCACCUGGUCGCCGGGAGGAGGUGGAGUCUUCUGUGCAGUGGUGCUGUGGGGAGCACCACCAUAUUAUGGGGAGGAGUCAAGCAACACAAUCAAGAACAUGCAAAGAGUUACGCUUGUAAACAUCAGUCAAUUCACUAUAGAGAAAUUGAAAGUAAAAAAAACUGAAAGAGCUUCCUAAUGCUUCAUUAACGGCACAUAUUCUCUGAGACAAGGUGAGAACUACUUCAACAUAUGCUAAUAAAGAUUUAUAACUUUCUUACGUUAUCCCCUUAAAUAUUUAUCUUGUGGCCCAUAUAGUGAAAAACAUGAGAAAGGAAUUUCGCGUUAAACGGUUUGUUUUGAAAAUCGGUGCACAGAGGGCCGGCCCAGGCUCUGUUGGUGCCAGAGGCGAGAUUUUAGAUUUUCUGCCCCUGACUAAAAUAAUUCGGAUCUUUCAAAACUAUUAUAAUAUAACAUGACAUAAAUACUUAUUAUUAUCAACAUAAAUAAGUAUUAAAUAAAUUGUGAUUAUAAAAAAAUGUAGAUGUUGAAGGGCCUUGUGGGUAUUUUAUGAGUGAAUCUGUUAAAAUAGUCUAUUGAAGAGACCAUGAGCAGCUCCCACAACUAUGCAUAGUGAAAAGUACUUAUUACAAUAAAGGGAAAUAUGUGCAAUAUGACAUGCCUAAAGUAGUCUAAAAGACAACAAAGGCAACAAAAUAAAGACAACAUUUUGUAAUUUAUUUGUAGAUGUUAGCCAGCUAGCUAGCUAGUUAGUCUAAUUAGCAUUCCUUUCAUUUCAAUUUUGUGCAUACAGUGGAAAAUUACACUGAAAAAAAAUAAGUGUAAUUUUAACUUUACAAUUUAGUAAAAACGCUACAAAAAAAGUUCCCGUACUAUAUACAGAGAAAAACUGUAAAAGAUCUAACCAGAUAUUUUUUUUUGUAAUUUUACAGUAAAAUGCUGUUCAUUUUUACAGCUUUUAAGAGUAAAAAAGAACAAAUCAAUGUUUGAUUUACAGUCAAAAACUGUAAACUGAUAUUCCCAGAAUUCUAUGCGUGACACUCCACAUUUUAAAGUAUUUUGUUUAAAUAAUGUUUUAAAAUAUUUUUUUGUUAUCAGUUAAAUGUACAUUUGGACUUUAUGUUACAGUACUUGUUUAAUGAAAGUUUACUGCAUUAUUUAAGUAUCAUGUGUGUUACCAUGAUGGUGUUUUUGUGUUUGCAUGAAUGACCUUCUAUAUAUUAUUAUAUACUUCUGCUUGUGGCGAAGCUACUUGUGAUUAGUUUUGAUUUUUCAUGUGACUUUCUCUUUAACCCCCUGCAUUAUUAUGGAGGUUGUCAGUAUGUUAAAGGUACAAAACAGAUUUUAAUUGUGUAUGUUGUUGAAUUAACUGGUUUACAUUCAAAUUUUGUUUGUAAAUUACAGCUUUAUACUGUAAAAUUAACAGUUUUUGACCGUUUUUUUAUACAGAAAACUAUUUUUCUGUCAAAAUUAUUCUGGCAAGCACAGCUGACAAAAUUAUUUUGUAAUACAGUGAUUUUUUUAUUUAUUUUUUUAUAGUGCAUACAUAAAACUUAAUUAUUUCAUUUUAUGAAGACUAGAUUAUAGUCCUGGUCACGGUCUUUUUCAAAAGAUCUUGUUCAAGAUCAGAAUUAAACAAGCUUACAUUUAUUUCAAAGAAAAUGAAUUGAAAUUAAAUAAGCAGUUAACUCAAGCAAAAAUGUUCCAUGGUGUCAGUAUUGGGUGAGCGUGAUUUCACCAAGUACAGCAUGUUCCUGGAUCGACAUCCUUUUGAUCAUGGAACAACAUUCCAAUCAACCGAUCAGAAUUGAGGGAUAACUUUUCAAAAAAUAUCUGUGUAAUGUAUUCAACCUUCGUAAUCAUCGGGAAGAAGGAGGCGGGAACCGGCGGACAAUCAAAGACUUUAAUAAUUCAAAAUAAACACAAAACAGCGCACCAGCCCCUCAUAGACGACUGAUGCGCACAAAUAAAAAGCAAAACAUAAACUAAAAACCCAGGCCCCCCCUGGUCCUUCACUGUCGUCGCUCCAGUUUUAUAUCCUUCCAUCUCCUACGUGGGACUCGCUCCUUGUUCCCACGUCCCAUGUCCCUCGGCCCCGCCCCACUCACCACAAUCUGUUUUAUGCUAAUAUAUAUAAAAGUAUAUAUUAGCAUAAUUUAGAUAACUAAAGCUUAUAGACGUUCAUUAAUUUAACACAAUUGAAAAAUUUUUUUUUUUUUUUUUUUUUUUUUUUUUUUGCACACCCACUGAACUGUUAGGCCCCUCCUUAGCACCCUAACAAACAAAUCCUGGAGCCACCACUGACUGUAUGUUUUCGAACAUAACUAUAUAAAAUAGCACUUUUCAGUGCUUCAUACUCAGUAAAACUGAAGCGAUAAAAUUACAUUUUUAUAUUUUGAAAUGUACCUCCGGCUGGUUAACACAGAAGAACCCCUUUCAGGGUGAAACGAAACCACCUAAUCAGCCUUCAGGAUUUAUUUAGCAAUAACAACCAUCUGGAUUUACAUCAUUCCUUACUUAAAAAUAUACUAGCAGCUCUGCUCUUCUGCUGCAAAACAGUCUGCACAUUUCUGUCUAUACACUAUACACUAUUUUUAUUUUUUUAUUAUUAUUUUUUGCAGACGGAGGAAGACUGAGGACGUGACUUGUGAGGAUCCUAACAUUAUUCAUGUUGAUGAUGUAAACCAUCGAAAACACUCCUCUGCUUGUUUUAAAUUCUGUUGAUUGAUCUGCCAUAGUUACAAAUAUUUUUUUCCACCUUAGAUCUAUAUCUUAGUUGAAGUGUGUACUUUUUUUUUGGAGAAAAUUGUUCAUGCUUUUGUGUCAUCUCAUUUUGUUUAUUGUAAUGCAUUGUAUCUGGGUGUGAGUCAGGCCUCAGCUUGUUCAGUAUUCAGCAGCUUUUAACGUAUACCACGAAGAGACAACAUAUUAAUCUUGUGCUUAUUAAACGACUCUGUCUUCCUGUACGAUGCAGGAUUCAUUAUAAAGUGCUGUUAUAUGUUUUAAAGUUUUGCAUGGUUUAGCACCAGAGUUUAUUUCCCAUUUAAUCAAUUUGCAUCAAUCCAGUAGGUCUAAUGAUCAAUUAUCUCGAUUUCAUUUAAAAUGCAAAGGUGAUAGGGCUUUUCUCUUGUUGCUAUUCCAAGGCUUUGAAUGACUUCCUCUGUCUGUAAAAUCUUCUCCUACACUUCCUGUAUUUCAAAGUGCACUUACAGUAUAACCAUAUAUACAUAUAUAUUUGUUGUUGUUUCAAAGUGCACUUAUAACCAUAUAUAUAUAUAAUUGUUGUUGUUGUGAUCUAUGUGAUCUAUGUCUGUAAUGUUUAAUGCUUGAUUAAUUUGUAUAUUUUGAUCUAGUCUUCCUGUUCUGAACUUUGGUCCUGGGCCAUGCAGAGACCUUUGGAGUGGCAGGUGCUCAAAGUAUAAAAGGGGCUCAUGGAGCAUGGCUUUUAAUACGGCUGUGCUUCUUGCCGAUACAUGUAUCCAAAUGAAUGCUUCAUACAAUUAUAAUUUAGCUCUUCAGCAGUUGCUUGUAUCAAAAAGCAACAAAUAAACCCUAAAACUAACUUCUAGUGACUUUGAACCAAUUUACAGUCUGGAUAAGUUGACAGUAUUUGCCAAAAGUUGGACCCGGUUUGCAGAUUUGAUAGAAAUAUUUAAGUGUUGAAUUGAUUUUGAAUCCAAAAAGUCCUUUUUGUGAUUCCGUUAAAUUGUUCAAAGUCACUUCUGAAAUUUCUGAUUGAUAAUCACAUUGUUACAUUGUUACAUUAUUCUUACUGUUUAAUGCAAGUAGUUAGGGCCACCUAAAAUGGGUGACCAACAAUUUGUUUUUUUUACAACUUUUUAACCACAAAUGCUAAUCUUACACCAGCCCAGCCUCACACAUGUCAUGUUAGAAAGGACACUCGUGCCUUUGGUGGAAGCUGGGCUUAUUCUAUUUAUUCUAUUUGUAAUUUUAUAAUAAAUCCCAUGUGGCCUUAUACCUUAGACCUUAUAUACUCUCUCUCUCUCUCUCUCUCUCUCUCUCUCUCUCUUCAGCCAAGUUUGCAAUGCUGUGAUUCAUCUUGGCUGGUUUCAGGGAGCCAAAGAUUGAUGUCUCUGUUGCACUUUAUUAACUUUUGGGGUAUGACAUGUAUAUUGUUAUGUGUUUUAAAAUAAACUGUUUAAAUGCUUUAAA
Carassius gibelio (silver crucian carp) is the source of this 5349-nucleotide long non-coding RNA. RefSeq lists it as uncharacterized. The record is from RefSeq and is a predicted model, not a curated record. NCBI's taxonomy places the organism in Eukaryota, Metazoa, Chordata, Actinopteri, Cypriniformes, Cyprinidae. The transcript is spliced from 7 exons.